Long non-coding RNA from Lingula anatina, 239 nucleotides. Lineage: Eukaryota; Metazoa; Brachiopoda; Lingulata; Lingulida; Lingulidae. The record is from RefSeq and is a predicted model, not a curated record.
CUGAGAGAGAAGUAAUCAAGGAUUACUCAGAAGAUGGCUACCUUUGCCAAUUUUGCGUUAGUUGUGUUGGUUCUGGCAGUUUUAAUGCACCAAGCUGAAUCCGACUGCUGCUUUACAAAGAAGAAUACUUACUGUGCGGACUGCACUAAGGGAACCCCUUACUGUUCAUAUGGAAAAUGUAACAUAUUUGGCUGCAAAUGUGAACGUUCAUGUAGAGCGGACUGCGGCAUGACCAUAAC